AUACCGUAUAUACCACUUGCCUGUUUUAUAAAUUGCGUGAUGCCUGGACGUGAAAUAGGUAAGAAAAAUCACUCUUGGUUUAUUUGUUGCAAGAUUAGAUAUGAACAUUCGUACAGGUUAUGAUAUGAACUUUCGUGCAGGUUAAAAUAAUCAAUUCAAACCGUAAAGAACUUAGUUGUAGCACGUUUAAAGAAUCAAAUACUGUACUCAAGCGUAAAUGACUUACCACAUGAUCAUCGCCUCACAAUCAAACCGUAUUUUGUUGCCUUAUUUAAAUGAAACACUUCCAAAUUUUCGAACAUACCAUAAAGUCUCUCUGAGGAAGGAGUUAAUAUGCUGCCUUAGUUAAAUCUCCGUUUUUUUUUUUUUGGAAUCUGA
RNAcentral lists this long non-coding RNA (378 nucleotides) under Brassica rapa (field mustard). RNAcentral describes it as "long non-coding RNA (BRAP_LNC007072)". The record is from RNAcentral. Lineage: Eukaryota; Viridiplantae; Streptophyta; Magnoliopsida; Brassicales; Brassicaceae.